Molecule: ribosomal RNA, 253 nt
Filed under: uncultured bacterium
Lineage: Bacteria
Description: partial 16S ribosomal RNA
Rfam family: Bacterial small subunit ribosomal RNA
Source: RNAcentral
UACGUAGGUGGCAAGCGUUGUCCGGAUUUACUGGGCGUAAAGAGCGCGCAGGCGGUCGUUCAAGUCGCGUGUGAAAGCCCCCGGCUCAACUGGGGAGGGUCACGCGAUACUGAUCGACUCGAAGGCAGGAGAGGGAAGUGGAAUUCCCGGUGUAGUGGUGAAAUGCGUAGAUAUCGGGAGGAACACCUGCGGCGAAGGCGGGUUGCUGGGCCGACACUGACGCUGAUGCGCGAAAGCUAGGGGAGCGAACGGG